Molecule: ribosomal RNA, 497 nt
Filed under: uncultured bacterium
Lineage: Bacteria
Description: partial 16S ribosomal RNA
Rfam family: Bacterial small subunit ribosomal RNA
Source: RNAcentral
GAUGAACGCUGGCGGCGUGCCUAAUACAUGCAAGUCGAGCGAACAGACGAGGAGCUUGCUCCUCUGACGUUAGCGGCGGACGGGUGAGUAACACGUGGAUAACCUACCUAUAAUACUGGGAUAACUUCGGGAAACCGGAGCUAAUACCGGAUAAUAUAUUGAACCGCAUGGUUCAAUAGUGAAAGACGGUUUUGCUGUCACUUAUAGAUGGAUCCGCGCCGCAUUAGCUAGUUGGUAAGGUAACGGCUUACCAAGGCAACGAUGCGUAGCCGACCUGAGAGGGUGAUCGGCCACACUGGAACUGAGACACGGUCCAGACUCCUACGGGAGGCAGCAGUAGGGAAUCUUCCGCAAUGGGCGAAAGCCUGACGGAGCCACGCCGCGUGAGUGAUGAAGGUCUUCGGAUCGUAAAACUCUGUUAUUAGGGAAGAACAAAUGUGUAAGUAACUAUGCACGUCUUGACGGUACCUAAUCAGAAAGCCACGGCUAACUACGUG